This 241-nucleotide ribosomal RNA is filed under the name uncultured bacterium. RNAcentral's name for it is "partial 16S ribosomal RNA". It matches the Rfam family "Bacterial small subunit ribosomal RNA", at positions 334 to 567 of the family's 1533-position model. The record is from RNAcentral.
GUUUCCUACGGGGGGCAGCAGUAGGGAAUCUUCCACAAUGGACGAAAGUCUGAUGGAGCAACGCCGCGUGAGUGAAGAAGGGUUUCGGCUCGUAAAGCUCUGUUGGUAGUGAAGAAAGAUAGAGGUAGUAACUGGCCUUUAUUUGACGGUAAUUACUUAGAAAGUCACGGCUAACUACGUGCCAGCAGCCGCGGUAAUACGUAGGGGGCAAGCGUUGUCAGGAUUUAUUGGGCGUAAAACG